CCAAUGAUGAAUUUUUUCACUCAGAGUUGUCAAAAUGACGAUAUAAAAAAUAUUCCUCUAAGAAGUUCUGAAGGGA
Molecule: small nucleolar RNA, 76 nt
Filed under: Aplysia californica (California sea hare)
Lineage: Eukaryota; Metazoa; Mollusca; Gastropoda; Aplysiida; Aplysiidae
Description: small nucleolar RNA SNORD61
Rfam family: Small nucleolar RNA SNORD61
About the family: U61 belongs to the C/D class of snoRNA which contain the C (UGAUGA) and D (CUGA) box motifs. Most of the members of the box C/D family function in directing site-specific 2'-O-methylation of substrate RNAs.
Source: RNAcentral